RNAcentral lists this long non-coding RNA (1167 nucleotides) under Chrysemys picta bellii (western painted turtle). RNAcentral's name for it is "lncRNA (ENSCPBG00000025617.1)". The record is from RNAcentral. Lineage: Eukaryota; Metazoa; Chordata; Testudines; Emydidae.
AACGAAGGACACCACGAAGACAUCAGGACACACCAGGAUCAGACACAGAUAUGGUGUGACUAUAAGCCUAUCAGGCUAGGAGAAAGCAGUGAGAAUAAGAACACCCAAUCUUCCUUCUGUGAUGGGGUAUACAAACCCCGCACAGGACAACAAAGGGUCGAGGACUGCACUGGGCUCAGCCAGUUCGGACCCACCACACCUGUAAGGCAUGCACAGGCUGGAAGAGAGGCUUUAGAAGGGAGCAGAACAGGUCCCUUUGGGCAGACUAGGGAAGAGAACAAACCUUCAACUCUAAGCUUCUGAGGAAAGGGCUGACUGAAGGCAGGAACUUCCUAGACAACCACUGCCUGAAGGCCCCUCCCUGUGGGGAGAGAGGAUCAGAUUCUGAUACACACUGAGAGGAAGUCAUUCUCCUCUAUCUCUUACUAACUCCAUUUAUUUGUGUUAAUUCCCCUUGGUUUUUGUUUAUGGACUACCCUGGAAGGGGAGAGACUUUGAAGUGACCAGGCCAGAGACCAAGUCACAGGAAGAGACAGAGCAGCCAAUGGCAGUAGACCCCAGCAGAGAGAGUGCUGCUACGCCAUGCCCAGCCAUGAGGAGGUGCCAGCGAUGAGUCGACUCCUUCACACAUUCUCUUAUGUUAGAAAAAUGUGGACACAUCAGGCCAAAUUUUGAGCUGUGGCUUCUAAUUUUUCAAUUGCAAAAAUGCAUACACCCAUUUCCAGCAUCCCAAUUAGCACUUACAAAAACCCAUUUGUGUGCAUAAAUGUGGGUUUAGCUCACACAUAUAAUGAAAUAAUAAUACUUUGCAUUUAUUUAGUAUCUUUAAUCUGAGGCUCACAACAAUGCUGUAAGUUAGGUACGGUCUGGAGAAUGCCGGUCAGAAAAGUUAAUAAUUUGCCCAAGGACAUACGAAUCAGUGGCAGGACUGGGAAUAUAACCUAGGGUUCCUGACUCCCAGUUCUCUUCUUUAACCCCAAAUCACUACUGCUUCCAUACAGAGUCAUCUGCAAAAUUGCAUAUGCAAAUUUAGAUGCCACUUUGGGUAUGUUUACACAGCAAUAUAAGCCUAGGGUUAGUGGGACUUGAGUCAAUUGAGCCAUAUCAGGAAACCCUGGGCUUGAGUGUCUACAUUGGAUUUUAACCCUAGGUUAAGGAUUUUCUGAC